Molecule: long non-coding RNA, 413 nt
Filed under: Sinocyclocheilus anshuiensis
Lineage: Eukaryota; Metazoa; Chordata; Actinopteri; Cypriniformes; Cyprinidae
Description: lncRNA (ENSSANG00000051532.1)
Source: RNAcentral
UAAAUUUCUCCAAAUCUGUUCUGAUGAAGACACAAACUCAUCUACAACUUGAAUGGGCUGAGCGUGAAUAAAUUGUCAGCAACUUUUUGGGUGAACUACUCCUUUAAAAUGAAAUGUAAAAAAAAAAGAAAAGAAUGAAAACGUGCACAAACUCUAUUUGUGAAAUGUACUAGGAUUUGGAUCGAAUUCAACAGCAAAAAACAGGGACUUCCUUUAGCAACAGCCAGUUCAGACACAACUGGAGAGGAAGAUGCAGUGCUUUAUUCAACCAUCAACGUCAUGCAACCCCCCUCACAACCACCCGGAAACAGUGAAGAAUCAAUGCCAACUGAGGUUGAACUGAAUCAUUUGUAUUACACCAUCCUCACCAAACCGGUCAUCUCCAGUGACAGCAGGAGUGUUUACAGUCAGCU